GACGAACGCUGGCGGCGUGCUUAACACAUGCAAGUCACGGGGGGCCCGCAAGGGUCAACCGGCGAACGGGUGCGUAACACGUGAGCGACCUGCCCAAUUGCGGGGGAUAGCCGGCCCAACGGCCGGGUAAUACCGCAUACGCUUCCCUGGGGGCAUUCUUGGGGAAGGAAACCUACGGGGGCGAUUGGAGGGGCUCGCGGCCUAUCAGCUAGUUGGCGAGGUAACGGCUCACCAAGGCGAUGACGGGUAGCUGGUCUGAGAGGAUGGCCAGCCACAUUGGGACUGAGAGACGGCCCAGACUCCUACGGGAGGCAGCAGUGGGGAAUCUUGCGCAAUGGCCGAAAGGCUGACGCAGCGACGCCGCGUGGAGGAUGAC
RNAcentral lists this ribosomal RNA (376 nucleotides) under uncultured bacterium. RNAcentral describes it as "bacterial SSU rRNA". It matches the Rfam family "Bacterial small subunit ribosomal RNA", at positions 28 to 412 of the family's 1533-position model. The record is from RNAcentral.